AUCAAGAGGUUCAACCACGAAGCAAAUUUACAACUAAAAGAUCCUUACAUUUCUUUGUCCUUGGAAAAAUAGAGAUCAUUCAUCAUAAAAAGGGGCCCUUUAAAUGGUAGGGAUCUAAAUAGGGUUCGUCGAACCGUGUUGAACUGUACCGAUGGCCAACCGGGAUGGUUCCACCAUUCGAAAUGAAAGACUGCGAGGAGGGGAGGG
RNAcentral lists this long non-coding RNA (207 nucleotides) under Elaeis guineensis (African oil palm). Its description in RNAcentral is "long non-coding RNA (EGUI_LNC025551)". Lineage: Eukaryota; Viridiplantae; Streptophyta; Magnoliopsida; Arecales; Arecaceae. The record is from RNAcentral.